AACAGGAUUAGAUACCCUGGUAGUCCACGCCCUAAACGAUGUCUACUAGUUGUCGGGUCUUAAUUGACUUGGUAACGCAGCUAACGCGUGAAGUAGACCGCCUGGGGAGUACGGUCGCAAGAUUAAAACUCAAAGGAAUUGACGGGGACCCGCACAAGCGGUGGAUGAUGUGGAUUAAUUCGAUGCAACGCGAAAAACCUUACCUACCCUUGACAUGUCAGGAAUCCUCGAGAGAUUGAGGAGUGCCCGAAAGGGAGCCUGAACACAGGUGCUGCAUGGCUGUCGUCAGCUCGUGUCGUGAGAUGUUGGGUUAAGUCCCGCAACGAGCGCAACCCUUGUCAUUAGUUGCUACGAAAGGGCACUCUAAUGAGACUGCCGGUGACAAACCGGAGGAAGGUGGGGAUGACGUCAAGUCCUCAUGGCCCUUAUGGGUAGGGCUUCACACGUCAUACAAUGGUACAUACAAAGGGCCGCCAACCCGCGAGGGGGAGCUAAUCCCAGAAAGUGUAUCGUAGUCCGGAUCGCAGUCUGCAACUCGACUGCGUGAAGUUGGAAUCGCUAGUAAUCGCGGAUCAGCAUGUCGCGGUGAAUACGUUCCCGGGUCUUGUACACACCGCCCGUCACACCAUGGGAGCGGGUUUUACCAGAAGUAGGUAGCUUAACCGCAAGGAGGGCGCUUACCACGGUAGGAUUCGUGACUGGGGUGAAGUCGUAACAAGGUAACC
This 725-nucleotide ribosomal RNA is filed under the name uncultured bacterium. RNAcentral's name for it is "bacterial SSU rRNA". It matches the Rfam family "Bacterial small subunit ribosomal RNA", at positions 771 to 1501 of the family's 1533-position model. The record is from RNAcentral.